Molecule: long non-coding RNA, 899 nt
Organism: Ruditapes philippinarum (Manila clam)
Lineage: Eukaryota; Metazoa; Mollusca; Bivalvia; Venerida; Veneridae
Exons: 3
Source: RefSeq, a predicted model, not a curated record
CAUGUUAUAUUUUAAACAAAUAUUAUUAACGACACUUAGUGCUCUGAGAAAUUAAUACAUUAAUAAAAAUGAAUAAGGACAUCAAGUGUUUCAUUUAAUUUCAGAGGUCCACGAAAUCCCUGCAGAUCAAACUAACAGAGGACAGCAUGACUCUUAUGAAAAUGUUCAAGGACCGAAGGUCGUGUGUAAAACAGCUGAUAUACCUGUGAAGGUGACAUCAAAGCAUCGGCAAUAUGAUGGCGUUGUUAUACUCCACAAGCCUCUCCAUGCUAUUGUUCCGUCAGGGGCAAUGCUUUCCUUGGAUGAGUAUGCUAUUGACAUGGAAAACGGUCUACUGAAAUUCAACACUGCUUUUCAUCGCUAGCCGAUUAUCAAGAGUGUUCAAUUAAACCAUCUUCUUGACAUUGAUCCACCAGAGAACUUUAAAUUUAAUGUUUUAGUAUGUUUCCUAUGUAGGUUCUUAACUUAAAAAAUAAAUAUGGAUUUAAAAUGCUUUUAGAAACGAUUAAAAGAAAAUAAUGUAAAAGUUAAUAAUGCGUCAUUGAUCGAUGGUAUAACUUUCAUUUGUUUUAUAUUUUAACGAUAAAAAUCUUAAAGAACAAAAACCGUUUCAUGACCUAUCUUAAUGUAGAUAAAGAAAGGAACAAAAAUCUUGUUUAUGAAAAUUGUUAUUACCAUACAUGUAUGUAUAUAGUAAUGUAAAGAUGUAUUAUUUCAUUAGAUGCUAUUUUUUAUUGUUAAACGGUCUAUUGAAGCAUUAGUUGCAGCCUAAGAAAUACUUAUUCUUCAUGGAUCGUGCAAUAUAUUUGAAUUUGCUUGUUUAAUUAAUAUACUUUGUGCAUUUGUUAUGUAUGAAAUUGUUCGCUUGUUAUACAUUGAGUUAAAAACAUAUUUCUUAA